Molecule: long non-coding RNA, 829 nt
Organism: Populus euphratica (Euphrates poplar)
Lineage: Eukaryota; Viridiplantae; Streptophyta; Magnoliopsida; Malpighiales; Salicaceae
Exons: 2
Source: RefSeq, a predicted model, not a curated record
AUCUACCAAGAAGCAAAUUCUCAUUCCCUAACAAAACAUAACAAGUUAAACACAGCAAUCAUUCCUCCAAAUUAUCUCACUCUCUGGUCUCUGUAUCCUUUGAGGUUAGAAAUCUUUUUUAAAGGGUGCUUCUUAUUGUUUGUUAUACUUUUAUCCACCCUCAUGUUUUCCUAGGAUAUAACAAGUAAAUUUUCCAAGAAAUAAGUUUCAAAGAAAAAUGGAACACCUAAACAGAAUUUUCAAAGUUUGAUAUGUGGUACAAAGGGAUUAAUUUCUGAGCAUCUCACCAAAAACAUUCCCUCAAGUGCAGCUAAGCCGUAUUAGUUCAGGAUUAAUGCUAGGUUCAGCUGUCAGUUUUCACAGUAUGUUAAUUUAAAACCAUCAUCAAAGACAGUCCUUGUUAAUCUAGAUCAACAUAAAAGAUCACAACUGUGCAAAAAAUCCAGCAAACGAUUCAACACGCUCCCCCUUAACAGUUCAUAACAAAUCAUAGGACAUCUUAAACAGCACCACACCCCGCACACAAGGUCGCUUAAUGAUCUGAUAAAAUGACUGAUAGCUGAUCUAAUCAAAUUAAAGUUUUAUCAUUUCCAUGAUCAUUAAAUACAACUGUAGUCAUAUCAACAGAAAUCAUUUGGAAUUAGGGCAAGUUAUCAACAAGGCAAACCAUGUCACUGGAAUGGGAGAAAAAAAUCCAUAAAAGCACCAGGUACUUGUUUGCACUUUAAUAUUCCUUUUAACUCAGCAUAAUGAGGCUUUAUUUUACUACAACACGAUGCAUCAAUCAUUUCCAAAGUUAUGCUGUUGUUUUCUCCGUCCACCUCAAAGC